UAAUUUAUUUGGGGAAGAUUUUCAUCUAGUUGUAAUAUAUUUAUAUUUGAUUGCUCAGAAUCAUCAGUUAUUAUAAAAUUAACUAUAUCAUUGACCCUUAUAAAAUAUAUUUAGAAAAAAUUGUUUAUAAAAUCAUGAU
Molecule: non-coding RNA, 139 nt
Organism: Populus trichocarpa (black cottonwood)
Lineage: Eukaryota; Viridiplantae; Streptophyta; Magnoliopsida; Malpighiales; Salicaceae
Source: Rfam